Molecule: ribosomal RNA, 486 nt
Filed under: Cassava witches'-broom aster yellows phytoplasma
Lineage: Bacteria; Bacillati; Mycoplasmatota; Mollicutes; Acholeplasmatales; Acholeplasmataceae
Description: bacterial SSU rRNA
Rfam family: Bacterial small subunit ribosomal RNA
Source: RNAcentral
CUGAGGCACGAAAGCGUGGGGAGCAAACAGGAUUAGAUACCCUGGUAGUCCACGCCGUAAACGAUGAGUACUAAAUGUUGGGUAAAACCAGUGUUGAAGUUAACACAUUAAGUACUCCGCCUGAGUAGUACGUACGCAAGUAUGAAACUUAAAGGAAUUGACGGGACUCCGCACAAGCGGUGGAUCAUGUUGUUUAAUUCGAAGGUACCCGAAAAACCUCACCAGGUCUUGACAUGCUUCUGCAAAGCUGUAGAAACACAGUGGAGGUUAUCAGUUGCACAGGUGGUGCAUGGUUGUCGUCAGCUCGUGUCGUGAGAUGUUGGGUUAAGUCCCGCAACGAGCGCAACCCUUAUUGUUAGUUGCCAGCACGUAAUGGUGGGGACUUUAGCAAGACUGCCAGUGAUAAAUUGGAGGAAGGUGGGGACGACGUCAAAUCAUCAUGCCCCUUAUGACCUGGGCUACAAACGUGAUACAAUGGCUGUUACA